RNAcentral lists this ribosomal RNA (501 nucleotides) under uncultured bacterium. RNAcentral's name for it is "partial 16S ribosomal RNA". It matches the Rfam family "Bacterial small subunit ribosomal RNA", at positions 30 to 523 of the family's 1533-position model. The record is from RNAcentral.
AUUGAACGCUGGCGGCAUGCCUUACACAUGCAAGUCGAACGGCAGCACGGGUGCUUGCACCUGGUGGCGAGUGGCGAACGGGUGAGUAAUACAUCGGAACGUACCUUAUCGUGGGGGAUAACGCAGCGAAAGUUGCGCUAAUACCGCAUACGCCCUGAGGGGGAAAGCGGGGGACCGUAAGGCCUCGCGCGAUUAGAGCGGCCGAUGUCUGAUUAGUUUGUUGGUGAGGUAAAAGCUCACCAAGGCGAUGAUCAGUAGCUGGUCUGAGAGGACGAUCGGCCACGCUGGGACGGAGACACGGCCCCGACUCCUACGGGAGGCAGCAGUGGGGAGUUUUGGACAAUGGGGGCAACCCUGAUCCAGCAAUGCCGCGUGAGUGAAGAAGGCCUUCGGGUUGUAAAGCUCUUUUGUCAGGGAAGAAACAGCAGCUCUAACACAGUCUGCGAAUGACGGUACCUGAAGAAUAAGCACCGGCUAACUACGUGCCAGCCGCCGCCGUAA